UUUUUCGCCCCGCCCUUCAAAUGCGAAAGCGACUGCCUUCUUGGAACACUCAAAACUAGCAUCUGAUGAAUGCCUACAUUCAGUCCACAAAGCAACAAUGGUCCUAUUUUUCCCUCCACUUUAAUGAGACCAAUCACUCUUCUAAAAACUAAGCCAGUUCCUUCAAAUUUAACAUGUAAUGAUUAAAAAGAAAUGGCUGGGUUCCGUUCCAAGAUAGCUGAAUAGGAACAGCUCUGGUCUGCAGCUCCCAGAGUGAUCGACGCAGAAGACGGGUGAUUUCUGCAUUUCCAACUGAGGUACCUGAUUCAUCUCACUGGGACUGGUUGGACAGUGGGUGCAGCCCACGGAGGGCGAGGUGAAGCAUGACAGGGCGUCGCCUCACCCAGGAAGCGCAAUGGGUCGGGGGAUUUUCCUUUCCUAGCCAAGGGAAGCUGUGACAGACUGUACAUGGAAAAUCAGUAAACCCUGCCCAAACACUGUGCUUUUCCCCCAGUCUUAGCAAAUGGCAGACAAGGAGAUUGCUCUCCCAUGCCUGGCUCAGCGGGUCCCAUGC
This 553-nucleotide non-coding RNA is filed under the name Pan troglodytes (chimpanzee). Lineage: Eukaryota; Metazoa; Chordata; Mammalia; Primates; Hominidae. The record is from RNAcentral.